This 467-nucleotide ribosomal RNA is filed under the name uncultured bacterium. RNAcentral's name for it is "partial 16S ribosomal RNA". It matches the Rfam family "Bacterial small subunit ribosomal RNA", at positions 28 to 506 of the family's 1533-position model. The record is from RNAcentral.
GACGAACGCUGGCGGCGUGCUUAACACAUGCAAGUCGAACGGAAAGGCCCUGCUUUUGUGGGGUGCUCGAGUGGCGAACGGGUGAGUAACACGUGAGUAACCUGCCCUUGACUUUGGGAUAACUUCAGGAAACUGGGGCUAAUACCGGAUAGGAGCUCCUGCUGCAUGGUGGGGGUUGGAAAGUUUCGGCGGUUGGGGAUGGACUCGCGGCUUAUCAGCUUGUUGGUGGGGUAGUGGCUUACCAAGGCUUUGACGGGUAGCCGGCCUGAGAGGGUGACCGGCAAAAUGGGGACUGAGAUACGGCCCAGACUCGUACGGGAGGAAGAAGUGGGGAAUAUUGAACAAUGGGCGGAAGCCUGAUGAAGAAACGCCGCGUGCGGGAUGACGGCCUUCGGGUUGUAAACCGCUUUCGCCUGUGACGAAGCGUGAGUGACGGUAAUGGGAAAAGAAGCACCGGCGAAUUACGU